RNAcentral lists this ribosomal RNA (490 nucleotides) under uncultured bacterium. Its description in RNAcentral is "partial 16S ribosomal RNA". It matches the Rfam family "Bacterial small subunit ribosomal RNA", at positions 28 to 507 of the family's 1533-position model. The record is from RNAcentral.
GAGGAACGAGAGAGACAGGCUUAACACAUGCAAGUCGAGGGGCAGCAUGGUCUUAGCUUGCUAAGGCCGAUGGCGACCGGCGCACGGGUGAGUAACACGUAUCCAACCUGCCGUCUACUCUUGGACAGCCUUCUGAAAGGAAGAUUAAUACAAGAUGGCAUCAUGAGUCCGCAUGUUCACAUGAUUAAAGGUAUUCCGGUAGACGAUGGGGAUGCGUUCCAUUAGAUAGUAGGCGGGGUAACGGCCCACCUAGUCUUCGAUGGAUAGGGGUUCUGAGAGGAAGGUCCCCCACAUUGGAACUGAGACACGGUCCAAACUCCUACGGGAGGCAGCAGUGAGGAAUAUUGGUCAAUGGGCGCAGGCCUGAACCAGCCAAGUAGCGUGAAGGAUGACUGCCCUAUGGGUUGUAAACUUCUUUUAUAAAGGAAUAAAGUCGGGUAUGUAUACCCGUUUGCAUGUACUUUAUGAAUAAGGAUCGGCUAACUCCGUG